This is a long non-coding RNA of Esox lucius (northern pike), 4672 nucleotides long. The record is from Ensembl. NCBI's taxonomy places the organism in Eukaryota, Metazoa, Chordata, Actinopteri, Esociformes, Esocidae.
CCAUCAGUAUUUCAGCAGGAGACACAUCGUGUUCUAGUGGAGAAGCACGGUAAUUCAGCAGAGCUAAAUAAGGAUCUGAUUGGCCGUCCACUGCUUUCUUGAGUAGUAGUUUCACAAUGUGUACUCCUUUCUCUGCCUUUCCGUUCGACUGCGGAUAUAAUGGGCUCGAUGUCACGCGUUGAAACCCAUAUUCCUCAGCAAACUUCUGGAAGUCCUUGCCACUGUUGCACGGCCAUUAUCACUGCAAACCACCUGCGGAAUGCCGUGUCUCGCAAAGAUGGAUUUCAUGUGUGUUAUCACACAAGUACUGGAAAGCAACGCAAUCUCUGGGUAGUUUGACAGAUAGUCUAUCACGAGCAAAUAGUUACGUCCGUCCAGGAAGAAUAAGUCAGUCCCAACUUUCUGCCAUGGUUCAUCCGGUGGAUCAAUGAUGAUCAUUGGCUCCUUUUGUUGCUUAGCAUGAUGCUUCAAGCACGUAUCACAGGUUGACACCAUCCUGUCGAUGUCUGCAUUUAAUCUGGGCCAGUAGAUUGCAGUUCUAGCCCUUCUUUUACAUUUUUCGGCUCCAAGGUGUCCCUCAUGCAGUUUUCUCAACAUCUCCUGUCGCAGUGACUGAGGGAUAAUGAUUCUGUUCUGUCUCAGCAGAAGUCCCUUGACAACACUCAACUCUGUUCUGAUGUUGUAGUACUGGGCACAUUCUCCUCUAGGCCAACCUUCAUUCAGAUGUGUAAUGACCAAAUGCAAACAUUUAUCUUUUUCAGUCUCCACUACAAUUUGUUUGAGUUUUGUGUCUGUGACUGGAAGAGCUUCAGCUACCAUGUUCACAUCCUGAGUCAUAUCAGCCUCCGUGGAACUUUUCCAUUUUCCACUCAUUUCCACAGCUCUGGACAGAGCAUCUGCCAGAACUAGAUGCUUCCCUUGAGUGUAAAUUAGCUCCAUAUCGUAUCUCUGCAGUCGCAUCAUCAGUCGCUGGAUUCUUGGAGACAUUUGGUUCAAGUUUUUUUUAAUCAUGGCAAUUAAUGGCUUGUGAUCUGUCUCUGCCACAAAUGUCGGUAAGCCGUACACAUAGCCGUGAUAUUUCUCCAAGCCAUACACUAAGCCCAGGCACUCUUUUUCAAUCUGUGCGUAUCGACAUUCAGUCUGAGUCAUUGUCCUCGAGGCAUAUGCGACUGGCCUCCAAUUCUCUCCAUCCGCCUGCAGUAGAACUGCACCCAUUCCAUCUUUGGAUGCAUCUGUCGAGAUCUUUGUCUCCUUUGUUGGGUCAAAGAACGUCAGAACAGGCUCUGUAGUGAGGAGAGUCUUCAGUCGUCCCCAUUCUUGUUCAUGAUCAGCUGUCCAUCUGAACUCGCCUUUAACGCACAACAGUUCUCUCAAAUAAACAGUUUUUGAAGACAGGUUAGGUAUGAACUUUCCGAGGAAAUUGAUCAUCCCCAUCACUCUCAAUACAGCCUUUCUGUCUGUGGGUCUGGGCAUUUUGAGUAUUGCUUGUAUCUUACACUUGUCAGGUUCCACACCCCUUUCUGACAGCGUAUCUCCAAGGAACGUGAUUUCCUUCGCUCCAAACCGACACUUGUAUCCUAUUCAACUUGAGCCCAUACUCCCUUACUCGCUGUAGGACGUCCAUGAGCCUCUUAUUGUGCUGUUCUAUUGUGGAGCCCCACAAGACAAUGUCGUCCACAUAAACACGAACGCCUCCUCGAUGCCUUCGAUUAUGUGUUCCAUAGCCCUGUGGAAUACUUCAGGAGCUGAGGAAAUUCCGAACGGCAUCCUCAAGAAGGAGUAGCGGCCAAAGGGUGUGUUGAAUGUGCAAUACUUUGUGCUGUUCCUCAUGUGGUUUCAGCUGCCAAAAGCCCUGGGAUGCAUCCAGCCUCGUAAAGAACUUAGCACCUGCCAUCUCACUUAGCAUUUAAGUCCUUUAAAUCCAUACAAAUACACAGAUCACCAUUGGCUUUCUUCACACACACCAUUGAAUUAACCCACUCUGUAGGCUCUUCCACUUUUCCUAUGACUCCCAUUGUUGUCAUUUUAUCCAGCUCUUGCCUCAGCUUUUCACGAGGUGGUGCUGGAACCCGUCUUGGUGCGUGAACUACUGGCUGCGCAUCUUCUUUUAACUGUAUUUUGUAGGUGAAUGGUAAUACUCCAAACCCUUCAAAGAUGUCUGGAAACUGUUUCACAUUAUGAUCCACACUGUUCUGUGUUUCUCCAUUAUUUAUGGUGUAUAUUCUUCUUACUAGACCCAGGUCUUCACAUGCCUUGUCUCCCAACACGGAAUCAUGGCCAUUUGGAACAACCAGGAACAUGAGGUAAUGUUCUCUGUCUUUAACCUUUACUCUGAGAGUACAUGUUCCUUUUAUUGGAAUGUUGUGGCCAUUAUAAGCUUUGAGUUGCACAAAUUUCUGACUUAUGCGCGGCUUGAUCUUCAUUGCUCUGACAUCAUACUCAGAAAUCAGAUUUACUUUUGCUCCCGUGUCUAGCUUGAGUGAUACUGUUACUCCAUUUAUUUCCAGAGCAGUCAUCCACUUGUCCCGUGAAACACAAUACAUAUCAGUCGGUUCCAUUCUUUCUUGACUGAUAUUGGCCUGCUGCACCAUUCCAACAAAGAAUGUGUCACUGAGGGAUGUUUCUUCCACUGCAUGCACACGCUCUCUUUGACUUUGUCCGCCUUUCGAAAAAGCAUUGCUUGGCAAAAUGAUUCUGCCCUUUACAUUUAGUACAGACUUUGCCAUAAGCUGGGCAUUGUGUUGGCGGGUGUCUUUUGCCACAUCUCUUACAGUUAAACAGUUCUUUCUGCUGUUUCAGUUUACUCAUUCUGCUUUUCUGCAUCUUCUCUGUUACUGCCGCUACAGCUGAAUUGUCACUCCCGCUCAUUUUUGUGUGGUCACCAAAGGUUUUAGCAUGCUGAAUAGCUAUCUCACUGGCAUGACAUAUACACACUGCUUCAUGCAAGGUUAGCUCCGUCUCUCUCAAGAGCCUCUCCCUCACUUUUUUAUCGUUGAAGCCGAACACAAUUUGGUCACAGACCAUUGAAUCUUGCAACAGUCCAAAAUUGCAUGUUUUAGCUUUCAACUUUAAAUCUAUUAAGAAACUGUCAAACGUCUCUCCUUGUUGUUGUAGACGAGAACGAAAAACAUACCUCUCAAAAGUCUCGUUUUUCUUGGUGUGCAGUGCAAAUCAAACUUCUCAAUUACCAUGUCAUAUUUGCUUUUGUCCAUGGCCUGUGCAAACACGAGUGUGUUAAACGCUUCUUUUGACUGAGGUCCCGCGACGGUGAGAAGCAAUGCAAUCUUGCGAGCAUCCGACGCUUCAUCCAGGCCCACUGCUUGCAAGUACAGCGUGAAUCUCUGUUUGAACAUACGCCGUUCGUGAUCAAUGUUUCCAGUCCAGUUCACAGCGUCAGGCGGUUUAACACUUUCCAUGACGACAGUCGAUGUUGGUGAUUACCCCACUCCUGGUACCAUGUAAUGUUUCUUAUCUCAGUGAAGAAACUGUUUGUAAUCAAACUUAUCUUUUAUUUCACUUUCAGGUCGCGAGAAGGAACAGCAAUAACACGUGCUCUUCUAACUUCCUGUCUGUAUCUUCUGCAGUACCUCCACCCUCUCUCCCAUCAACCCCCUUAGUGUACUAGCUCCAACUGGCUGGUAGAGAAGGGCAGCACUCCACUGACGUAGUAAGCAAUUCCCAGGGAGAGGAGAGCGAUGACCACCAGAAGGAGCAGAACCUGUGAACGUUUGAAAUGAGUCCGUAAUGGGGGAUUCUGAGGAAUACACACACCGCAUACGGUCAUUUGGCUUGUAAAUGCAUCUUUGUUUUACUUUUACCGUGCAUCUAACAAAAGGAUGCUGUGCUAUGCGGAAGAUCUACACACACACAGUCACGUCCUGAAGCUGUAGUGAAUACCUUUGCUUUUCUGGAGGUUAGGGUUGAGGAGAGAGUAGCUCUCCAUCACACUGACAGAAAGGAUUAACUCAGUGCUGACUCAAGUGCUGUAUCACUGACUAUGAUUACACAAGCAGCCCAAUUCAGAAAAUGUAUUUAUUUGAACAAUCAAUCAGAUCAGAAAAUAAUGUGAUUGGUCAGGAAAGUGUUUAGUCAAAAAGAAAAGAGAUUUGGGGUGCUUUUCUAAACACAGCCAUAUGACUGACAUGAUUCUGUUCAAACUCAACAAAUUCCUCUCAGUAAUAUGAUUUACAGUCACAAGCCUUCAAAUGUAAAUAGCAGUUAGUUAUGUCGAUUUAUUCAAUUAUUCAAUCAAUCAAAUGUAUUUAUAAAGCCCUUUUUACAUCAGCAGUUGUCACAAAGUGCUUUUACAAAACACCUGGCCUUAAACCCCAAGGACCAAACAACAGUAGUGUUGAAUUUCAGUGGCUAGGAAAAACUCCCUAAGAAUGCCAACAUUUAGGAAGAAACCUGGAGAGGACCCAGGCUCAGAGGGGUGACCAGUCCUCUUCUGGCUGUGCCAGGUGAACAUAUUAAGAUUACAAUUGUAAUAAUUAAUAAAUGCAUGUGGGCUGAGUCUAGAGUCUAUUUAAACUUAGUCCAGGUCGGAAGCAUGACCAGAUGGACAAGGACAGGGACAACACAGGAGAAGGGGAGGUGUCAGCACAGUAGCAGCUGAAAUUGUCAGGCAUCGUCUCGAUCUGCAACACAACCAGAAGGACUCUGGACAGGGACA